UACGUAGGGGCCUAGCGUUGUCCGGAAUUAUUGGGCGUAAAGGGCUCGUAGGCGGUUUGUCGCGUCGGGAGUGAAAUCCACUGGCUUAACUGGUGGCUUGCUUUCGAUACGGGCAGACUGGAGGUAUGCAGGGGAGAACGGAAUUCCUGGUGUAGCGGUGAAAUGCGCAGAUAUCAGGAGGAACACCGGUGGCGAAGGCGGUUCUCUGGGCAUGUCCUGACGCUGAGGAGCGAAAGUGUGGGGAGCGAACAGG
This 253-nucleotide ribosomal RNA is filed under the name uncultured bacterium. RNAcentral's name for it is "partial 16S ribosomal RNA". It matches the Rfam family "Bacterial small subunit ribosomal RNA", at positions 524 to 776 of the family's 1533-position model. The record is from RNAcentral.